RNAcentral lists this ribosomal RNA (440 nucleotides) under uncultured bacterium. RNAcentral describes it as "partial 16S ribosomal RNA". It matches the Rfam family "Bacterial small subunit ribosomal RNA", at positions 338 to 795 of the family's 1533-position model. The record is from RNAcentral.
CCUACGGGAGGCUGCAGUGGGGGAUAUUACACAAUGGGGGGAACCCUGAUGCAGCGACGCCGCGUGGGUGAAGAAGCGCCUCGGCGCGUAAAGCCCUGUCAGCAGGGAAGAAAAUGACGGUACCUGAAGAAGACGCCCCGGCUAAAUACGUCUCAGCCGCCGCGGUAAUACGUAGGGGGCGGGCGUUAUCCGGAUUUACUGGGUGUAAGGGGGUCGCAGACGGGGAUGCAAGCCAGGUGUGAAAGCCCGGGGCCCAACCCCGGGACUGCCCUUGGAACUGCGUGGCUGGAGUGCAGGAGGGGCAGGCGGAAUUCCUGGUGUAGCGGUGAAAUGCGUAGAUAUCAGGAAGAACACCGGUGGCGAAGGCGGCCUGCGGGACUGCAACUGACGUUGAGGCACGAAAGCGUGGGGAGCAAACAGGAUUAGAUACCCCAGUAGUC